RNAcentral lists this ribosomal RNA (300 nucleotides) under uncultured Sulfolobus sp. RNAcentral describes it as "bacterial SSU rRNA". The stretch from base 52 to 300 matches the Rfam family "Bacterial small subunit ribosomal RNA", at positions 547 to 795 of the family's 1533-position model. Lineage: Archaea; Thermoproteati; Thermoproteota; Thermoprotei; Sulfolobales; Sulfolobaceae. The record is from RNAcentral.
GGACAGGGGUGAGCCGGUGCAGUGAUAACUGGUAGGGUGCCAGAGUGAAGUGGAAGUAGUGGGCGUACAGCUUUGGUAGGCGGUUCGAAAAGAAAGAUGUGAAAUCCCAUGGCGCAACCGUGGAAGUGCAGUUUGAGCUGCCGAGCUAGAGUAUGUCAGAGGGUGGUAGAAUUCCACGUGUAGCAGUGAAAUGCGUAGAUAUGUGGAGGAAUACCGAUGGCGAAGGCAGCCCCCUGGGAUAAUACUGACGCUCAGACACGAAAGCGUGGGGAGCAAACAGGAUUAGAUACCCUGGUAGUC